ACUCGCCUGCAUGAAGUCGGAAUUGCUAGUAAUCGCGGACCAGCAUGCCGCGGUGAAUACGUUCUCGGGCCUUGUACACACCGCCCGUCACACCAUGGGAGUCGGUAACACCCGAAGUCUGUAGCCUGACGCAAGAGGGCGCAGCCGAAGGUGGGAUUGAUGACUGGGGUGAAGUCGUAACAAGGUAAC
This 189-nucleotide ribosomal RNA is filed under the name uncultured bacterium. RNAcentral's name for it is "partial 16S ribosomal RNA". It matches the Rfam family "Bacterial small subunit ribosomal RNA", at positions 1310 to 1500 of the family's 1533-position model. The record is from RNAcentral.